RNAcentral lists this ribosomal RNA (315 nucleotides) under Bacillus sp. (in: firmicutes). Its description in RNAcentral is "bacterial SSU rRNA". It matches the Rfam family "Bacterial small subunit ribosomal RNA", at positions 67 to 374 of the family's 1533-position model. Lineage: Bacteria; Bacillati; Bacillota; Bacilli; Caryophanales; Bacillaceae. The record is from RNAcentral.
CGAAUGAGGGAGCUUGCUCCUCUGAUUUAGCGGCGGACGGGUGAGUAACACGUGGGCAACCUGCCCUGUAGACUGGGAUAACUUCGGGAAACCGGAGCUAAUACCGGAUAAUCCAUUUCACCUCAUGGUGAAAUGUUGAAAGGCGCUUUCGGGCGUCACUACAGGAUGGGCCCGCGGUGCAUUAGCUAGUUGGUGGGGUAACGGCCUACCAAGGCGACGAUGCAUAGCCGACCUGAGAGGGUGAUCGGCCACAUUGGGACUGAGACACGGCCCAAACUCCUACGGGAGGCAGCAGUAGGGAAUCUUCCACAAUGG